UGGCUUCACUUUGUGGUGUUACUUACGAUUUAGGAACAUGUAUGCAUUCCUGCUUUGGGGAUUUUACAACUUCCCUUUUGGAAUUCCAUAGAAAAUAUUUCGCUCCAUCUUUUCUUCUGCUGUCUUCUUUCCUCUUUUGCUGCUUAUCACAGGCUUUUGAAAGUGGAAGCCGUUCAAGAUGGGGAAAAAAGAAAUCUAUUUCAGCUAUAAGAGGCGAUUUCUGCACUUUUUUGUUCUAAUGUUGCGUGGGUAAUUAUAAUGCAAAAUGAUUGUGCUUUACAUUUCAUGUAUAUAAUGUAGGGAUGUGUCUACUCCAAGAAUAAACUAAAUAUUAAAAUUACGAAAUGUAGCCCUUCAGGUGACAAUGUUGUAUUCCCCUUUAGAUAUUACAUAUAACUAAAGAUUUGGAGAAAUUCAAGCUUGACAAAGAAUGAUUUCAUGUUUGGAUUGUUAUUGCAUAUCAUUUAUAAUGGUUUUAUACCUUAUAUUAUAUACUAUUAUGCUGUUAAAAUAAUAUACAGAUUAUAUUGAUGUAAGCUACUAAUAUACCCUUAUUAAGAUAAUAGAUUCCUUAACAAUUCAAAACUUAAAAACAAAGAUUAUUAUUGGUGAAGUGGCUAGAAAGAGGAAGAUUUUGUCUACAAUGACGAGGAUUAGUAGCUUUACAAAAUGCAGAGCAAACACUCUGAGGGAAAGCAACAUAGUAUGCCAUACUAUGAUAUUUAUAAUGGUUUACCUCAAGCUUUCUAUAUGAAGCAACAAUGGAGCUAAAAUCAGCAGUUUUGUGAGAGGGUUGUGGGUAUCAACUUCCCAAAUGAGCCCAUUUGUGAUUUCUAAUUUUUCUAACCUCUAUUUCAUUUGUUAUUUCUGGUAAGCUUUUCCCUUUUCUUCCUUUGUUGCACUGAUUUUUAGCCAUCCCUUUUGGAUUCCUUUGAAAUUUUGUGCACUUUUGCUUCAAUUUUGGUGUUCUUAAUCUUUCUCAUAAUUUCUUGCUAGAUAUCUUACAUGAAUGUCAGUAAUUAUCUGAUAUGCACAUGCGUGUUUGAAAUUAGAUAGCUGAUACAUGUAAUUGUGUAUUAUUUUUGAAUGCACGUUGAUGUCUUCUCGCCUUUUGAAACUAAUUAAUUACUUAAAAUUGAAACUUCUGUGCAAAAAUUUAUAUAUUAAGCUUGUUGUUGGAAGAUUGAGUCUUCCAGUAUCUCCAAAGGGGGUUAAAAAUGCAAGAGGAUUCAAGUGCAAAAAGGACUCAGUGGAGCCAGUAAUUGCAGAAGAGGAGCAGCAAACUCAGAAAUGACGAGGGAUGUUUUUGUGGGGGUUGUACAGGAAGAAUGAGGAGAAUUUUACGAAGUCAAGGAACCUGAUUGAUCUUUAACUUUUGAGUCUAGCUGCUUAUUACAGGCUUUUGAAAGUGGAAGUCGCUCAAGGUGGGGAAAAAGGAAAACUGCUUUGACUAUAAGAGUCUGCUAACAAGAGAGGGUCUUGAAGGUUGUGAGUAUUGAGCUAGCUGUAGGCAUGGAAGUGAGAAGCAUAGCCAGAAACUUUUUGUUUGAUGUUCCAAAGCUGGACAUAUUAGAUGAAAAUGCUUCUACCUGCAAGAAAAUCCAACCUAAGGCACGAGUAGCAGUGGUGAUUGAUAUCAUACGAAAGACUUUGAUCACUGAUAAAAUAGAUAUGGAAGACUUGGAUCGAUGUUGCACAAGCCAAUAAUAGGUUUUUCUGCCAGCUCGUGUGGGGAAAAACUACAGUUCUCAUUUCUGAAAAAUGUUUUUGGGAAUUUGGAUUCUGGUCAUUGAUCCGCUUACUCCACGGGGAGAUGGACAGAAUGUUUUGAUUUGGUAUCUUUGAUAUCCAAAUUAGUGAAAGCAUUCAUGUGUUCAUAUGUAGUAGUUUGACUAGAAAUGAUCAGUCAAUCGGUUGGAAGACAAAUGUGGCGAUUUAAUUCAAAUAUGGGCGUGUUUAGAUGAGAAACCCAAAGAGACAUUUGCAAUUUUUCCUAUAUCAUAUUAUUUCAGCUGAAUGAAUGGAAUUUUAGAGCCUAUAUUCGA
Long non-coding RNA from Nicotiana attenuata, 2045 nucleotides. RefSeq lists it as uncharacterized. The transcript has 5 exons. Lineage: Eukaryota; Viridiplantae; Streptophyta; Magnoliopsida; Solanales; Solanaceae. The record is from RefSeq and is a predicted model, not a curated record.